CACUCAGCAGCCAAACAGAGUCAUGGAUGGGUUUACAUCGUACUUCGCUCUCCUGUCGGCGUUCCUACUUUAUGAUGCUCAACCAGCAGCUCCAACAGGCUGUGCAGGUCCACCCGUGCUGUGUUGCUCUGGUAAAAACAACUCCUGCUCCAGACAAUGUUACUGUGAUGAGGCCUGCUUGAAAUUUGGCGACUGCUGUGAUGACUACAUUUCAACCUGCAC
Molecule: long non-coding RNA, 222 nt
Organism: Etheostoma spectabile (orangethroat darter)
Lineage: Eukaryota; Metazoa; Chordata; Actinopteri; Perciformes; Percidae
Exons: 3
Source: RefSeq, a predicted model, not a curated record